Heteronotia binoei (common prickly gecko) is the source of this 540-nucleotide long non-coding RNA. RefSeq lists it as uncharacterized. The transcript is spliced from 4 exons. The record is from RefSeq and is a predicted model, not a curated record. Lineage: Eukaryota; Metazoa; Chordata; Lepidosauria; Squamata; Gekkonidae.
GAAAAGGAAUCACGGUACUCAGCUGGAAGGAGACUUGGAUUGCUGACCAGCCUGGUCUCUUCCUUUUAAUUAAUGACACUGUUUUCACAUCAGUAGCAAUAUCUCCAGUAAGUAAUCACUGCCUUCAAAUACUAGACCAUUGCCUGGACAUUGUCAUUUCCUGUGUGAUGCUGGUGACAAGGGCCUUUCUCUUUCUCCAGCCAGUAUACUAGAAAUCUGUUCUGCUGGAACAGGAAGUUUCCUGCGAUUUUGGCACUACUAAAACAACAAUGAAUUUAUUUCCUGAAGAAUGGCUUGAUCCUGAAACGUUGGACUUCAUCCAGAAACCUAGCUGUACACAUAUAUUUUCCUUUCUUCUUGGAACGGACCCUCCACUUCAUGAGCUACUUCACAGCUUUGCUUGGACUUUCACUUUUCCAACUUUGGUUGUUUGAGAAUAGGUUACUUUAUGUGCAAUUGACCAAUAUCUUUUGUAUUGUUAUAAUGUUGUAUAACUGUGAUAAUGACCAUAUAAUAUAAUCAUAUUUUAUAUAUUUGAAA